RNAcentral lists this ribosomal RNA (496 nucleotides) under uncultured bacterium. RNAcentral's name for it is "partial 16S ribosomal RNA". It matches the Rfam family "Bacterial small subunit ribosomal RNA", at positions 29 to 507 of the family's 1533-position model. The record is from RNAcentral.
AACGAACGCUGGCGGCGCGUCUUAAGCAUGCAAGUCGAACGGCAAGAGAGGAGCUUGCUUCUCUCCUAGAGUGGCGGACUGGUGAGGAACACGUGGGUAAUCUACCCUUAAGAUGGGGAUAGCUGCUAGAAAUAGCAGGUAAUACCGAAUACACUCGGCAUAUCUCAAGAGGUGUUGAGGAAAGGAAGCUACGGCUUCGCGUGAGGAUGAGCUUGCGUCCCAUUAGCUAGUUGGUGAGGUAAAGGCCCACCAAGGCGACGAUGGGUAUCCGGCCUGAGAGGGUGAACGGACACAUUGGGACUGAGAUACGGCCCACACUCCUACGGGAGGCCGCAGCUAAGAAUAUUCCGCGAUGGACGGAAGUCUGACGGAGCGAAGCCGCGUGGAUGAAGACGGCUGCAUAGUUGUAGAAUCCUUUUGUUGUUGAAGAAUAAGGGUGAGAGGGAAUGCUCAUCUGAUGACGGUAAUCGACGAAUAAGCCCCGGCUAAUUACGUG